This 253-nucleotide ribosomal RNA is filed under the name uncultured bacterium. RNAcentral describes it as "partial 16S ribosomal RNA". It matches the Rfam family "Bacterial small subunit ribosomal RNA", at positions 524 to 776 of the family's 1533-position model. The record is from RNAcentral.
UACGAAGGUCCCAAGCGUUAUCCGGAUUUAUUGGGUUUAAAGGGUGCGUAGGCGGGUUAUUAAGUCAGUGGUGAAAGCCUACAGCUUAACUGUAGAAUUGCCAUUGAUACUGAUGAUCUUGAGUGUGAUUGAGGUAGGCGGAAUGUGUCAUGUAGCGGUGAAAUGCUUAGAUAUGACACAGAACACCGAUUGCGAAGGCAGCUUACUAAGUCAUAACUGACGCUGAUGCACGAAAGCGUGGGGAGCAAACAGG